AGCGAACGUUAGCGGCGGGCCUAACACAUGCAAGUCGAACGCGAAAGGUCUUCGGACUGAUUAGAGUGGCGCACGGGUGAGUAACACGUAGGUAAUCUACCCUUUGGCGGGGGAUAACGUUCCGAAAGGAGCGCUAAUACCGCAUAAGACCACGGAGUCUCCGGACGCUGUGGGAAAAGGUGGCCUCUUCUUGAAAGCUAUCACCGGAGGAUGAGCCUGCGUCCCAUCAGCUAGUUGGUAAGGUAAUGGCUUACCAAGGCAAAGACGGGUAGCUGGUUUGAGAGAAUGAUCAGCCACACUGGCACUGGAACACGGGCCAGACUCCUACGGGAGGCAGCAGUGAGGAAUAUUGGGCAAUGGGCGAAAGCCUGACCCAGCCACGCCGCGUGAGUGAUGAAGGCCCUCGGGUCGUAAAGCUCUGUGGAGAGGGACGAAAAACCUGGGGUCUAAUAGGCCCCGGACUUCGACGGUACCUCUUUAGCAAGCACCGGCUAACUCUGUGCCAGCAGCCG
RNAcentral lists this ribosomal RNA (512 nucleotides) under uncultured bacterium. RNAcentral's name for it is "bacterial SSU rRNA". It matches the Rfam family "Bacterial small subunit ribosomal RNA", at positions 29 to 517 of the family's 1533-position model. The record is from RNAcentral.